GCACAAUUACAUGUUCUUAUUAUCUUUUCCUCUACAUGACUGUUGAUUUAUUAUCUGUUAUCAGAAUAAAAAUACCCUUUGUACAAGCAUUAUUAUUAAAAAGUACUGUUUUAUACAAUUGUUGUUGUAAUAAGUGCAUGUACACUACCUAUUUCUAAAGAUAUGCCAUAUAGAGGCCUUUAAAACAAAAAUAAUAUAUGUGAAAAAUUGCCUGAAAAAGUGUUAUGCCUAUCAUAUCAUAUUAUAUCUUUUUUUUUUGCCUUAGGACAUACCUUCAACUUGAAUGAUAUUUCACAUUUUGUUAUAAAGUAUAUUUUUACUUAUGUUUCUAUAGUGAAGCGUUCAGUGGAGCUGGUAGACUAUUUUAUUGAACUGUAGGUUGUGUAUACAGUUAAUCUUACCAAGUUUGUUAUAGACCCCUGGGUCAGUUACUAAUAGCUAAAAAGAAAGUUUGUUGUCCAAAAAGGUAGUAAUGACAAUCAAAUUAUACCAGAACACUUUGAAAAUAUGUUUGUGCUAAUGGUAUUUUGGGAAAUGUAAGGAUGUCCUUAUAUCAUG
Molecule: non-coding RNA, 558 nt
Organism: Pelobates cultripes (western spadefoot toad)
Lineage: Eukaryota; Metazoa; Chordata; Amphibia; Anura; Pelobatidae
Source: the annotation of a GenBank genome assembly